AGAGCAGAUUGCCAUUGUAGACGCUCAGUACAUGGUCCAUUGUGCAGUUCCCAUGCUCCAGGGCAAGGUAAUUGUAAGUUUUUCUUGUAAGCUUAAACUUCUCCAAAAUUGAUGUCUCCUUGCGUGCUCUAUUUUUCAUAUGCUCACCACUUUGAAGCUCCUCUUCUCCUCCAGGGUGACAAAGAAAAGCCAGGAGGCCGUUUUGAGGUAUGUAUAUCACUCACUCUUGAGAAGAAUGGUAGUUUUUUUAAGCAGAUGAGAAUAAUAUUUGGUUUUAAUUUGUUGGGUAUAUGUGUUAAAAAUUAGUUGGGUAUAUUGUUCAUUUUUUUCUGAGAAAUAGAAUAACUCUAGUUUUGCUUGAAUUAGAAAAGAAACAUUCCAAUUAAUAUUUGCUUAAAAUAGUUUGCCAUUGUCGCACAAGGAUAAGGACUAUUGAAGAAUUCAAGUGGAAAUUUGUUCCUUUAUGAUAUUAUCCUCUUUGCUAGUUCUUUUAUAUGUACUGACAUAUAAACCAUUAAUGUUUUUUGUAGAACGGAUGGCCCACCUUAAAAGUAACAUCACGAGGCAUUGUAGUCAUUGGUGAAGAAUGAUAAGGACUUGUGAUGGUGUCUCAUGAGUGAAGAGAAAAUAUUUACUGGUUGUUACUUGAUUUUUUUUGGUACAAAUGAACAUCUAUAUUGAUUGUUCUGGAUAGUGUUUUUGGUUAGUAAUUUCGCAAUGGUUUUUUAUCUCCAGAUAUGUAUGUGGGGAAUUAGAGACAUUGCGAGGACCAGCAUUAAGUAAGGCGGAAUUGGUUUCUAAACUACAAGCUUGUGAGCAAGCAAGGCAAGUGCUCGAAGGAACGUUCAAUGGCAUGGUGCAAGAGGUGUUAGAAAUUAAGUGUAUUGUAUCUGGUAUAUUAGUAAGUGAUAGUUCUCAUGGAAGCCAACUUGAAGUUUCUUAAAGGAUAUUUUAAUGUAUGUCAGAAUAUUGGUAUUUUUAUUAAUAAAAGAGGCUAUGAUCCUUUCAAACCAUAUUCUCUUGUUUUUAUAUUAAUAUGGAUGUUAAUAUUGAAAUGUUGGAUGCUGCAUAAAGUG
This 1076-nucleotide long non-coding RNA is filed under the name Triticum aestivum (bread wheat). Its description in RNAcentral is "long non-coding RNA (TAES_LNC000947)". Lineage: Eukaryota; Viridiplantae; Streptophyta; Magnoliopsida; Poales; Poaceae. The record is from RNAcentral.